UGAAGGGGCCGCGACUGGCGAGGGUGGAUGACCACCGGGGAGCGGCCGACCUUCCCGAGAGGCGUCGCCCGCCUGGGCGCCCGGG
This 85-nucleotide non-coding RNA is filed under the name Actinomyces sp. Its description in RNAcentral is "ZTP sequence". It matches the Rfam family "ZMP/ZTP riboswitch aptamer (pfl RNA motif)". Rfam says of the family: Previously known as pfl RNA. ZMP is also known as AICAR. Lineage: Bacteria; Bacillati; Actinomycetota; Actinomycetes; Actinomycetales; Actinomycetaceae. The record is from RNAcentral.